RNAcentral lists this ribosomal RNA (417 nucleotides) under Methanoculleus sp. enrichment culture clone CIBANICRA-41. RNAcentral's name for it is "bacterial SSU rRNA". It matches the Rfam family "Archaeal small subunit ribosomal RNA", at positions 324 to 745 of the family's 1478-position model. The record is from RNAcentral. Lineage: Archaea; Methanobacteriati; Methanobacteriota; Methanomicrobia; Methanomicrobiales; Methanomicrobiaceae.
UACGGGGCGCAGCAGGCGCGAAAACUUUACAAUGCGGGCAACCGUGAUAAGGGAACCUCGAGUGCCUGUAUAUGCAGGCUGUCCAGGUGUCUAAAACACACCUGAAGAAAGGGCCGGGCAAGACCGGUGCCAGCCGCCGCGGUAAUACCGGCGGCUCGAGUGGUGGCCGCUUUUAUUGGGCUUAAAGCGUUCGUAGCUGGGUCGUUAAGUCUCUUGGGAAAUCCGGCAGCUCAACUGUCGGGCGUCUAAGAGAUACUGGCGAUCUUGGAACCGGGAGAGGUGAGGGGUACUUCGGGGGUAGGAGUGAAAUCCUGUAAUCCUCGAGGGACCACCUGUGGCGAAGGCGCCUCACCAGAACGGCUUCGACAGUGAGGGACGAAAGCUGGGGGAGCAAACCGGAUUAGAUACCCGGGUAGU